CCCCCAUUAGGUAAACACUUAUUCAAUAUCCAAUAUCAGCUAUAAAAGUUCUACCGGAAGCCAUGACAUUUGAAAGUCAAGCGAGAUUUAAUACGCAAUUGUUUGAACGACAAUAAAGACUAGCCAUACCUUUCGCCGAUUAUAACUUCGGCCCCCUUCGGACGUAUCUUCUCGUAAUAGUCGUGUUCGAAUCGCUAUCAAAAACACUAUUUAGAGUGUUAUUUUUGAGCUUGUAUCUUUAAAUUUACAUCUUUUAUUAU
Molecule: non-coding RNA, 260 nt
Organism: Paramuricea clavata
Lineage: Eukaryota; Metazoa; Cnidaria; Anthozoa; Malacalcyonacea; Plexauridae
Source: the annotation of a GenBank genome assembly